GUUUAGAACGUCGUGAGACAGUUCGGUCCCUAUCUGCCGUGGGCGCUGGAGAACUGAGGGGGGCUGCUCCUAGUACGAGAGGACCGGAGUGGACGCAUCACUGGUGUUCGGGUUGUCAUGCCAAUGGCACUGCCCGGUAGUUACAUGCGGAAGAGAUAAGUGCUGAAAGCAUCUAAGCACGAAACUUGCCCCGAGAUGAGUUCUCCCUGAGGCUUUGAGUCUCCUGAAGGGACGUUGAAGACGACGACGUUGAUAGGCCGGGUGUGUAAGCGCAGCGAUGCGUUGAGCUAACCGGUACUAAUGACCCGUGAGGCUUAACCUU
RNAcentral lists this ribosomal RNA (322 nucleotides) under Tenebrionicola larvae. Its description in RNAcentral is "partial 23S ribosomal RNA". It matches the Rfam family "Bacterial large subunit ribosomal RNA", at positions 2609 to 2925 of the family's 2925-position model. Lineage: Bacteria; Pseudomonadati; Pseudomonadota; Gammaproteobacteria; Enterobacterales; Enterobacteriaceae. The record is from RNAcentral.